RNAcentral lists this ribosomal RNA (259 nucleotides) under uncultured bacterium. RNAcentral describes it as "partial small subunit ribosomal RNA". It matches the Rfam family "Bacterial small subunit ribosomal RNA", at positions 26 to 285 of the family's 1533-position model. The record is from RNAcentral.
AGGACGAACGCUGGCGGCGCGCCUAAAACAUGCAAGUCGAACGAGAAGCCCGGGCUUGCCCGGGUGGACAGUGGCGAACGGGUGAGUAACACGUGAGUAACCUGCCCUAGGCUUUGGGAUAACCCUCGGAAACGGGGGCUAAUACCGGAUAUUCACUUCCUGCCGCAUGGUGGGUGGUGGAAAGUUUUUCGGUCUGGGAUGGGCUCGCGGCCUAUCAGCUUGUUGGUGGGGUGAUGGCCUACCAAGGCGACGACGGGUA